Small nuclear RNA from Otolemur garnettii (small-eared galago), 105 nucleotides. The record is from Ensembl. Lineage: Eukaryota; Metazoa; Chordata; Mammalia; Primates; Galagidae.
GUGCUUGCUUCGGCAGCACAUAUACUAAAAUUGGAAUGAUACAGAGAGAUUAGCAUGCCCCUGCGCGAGGAUGACAUGCAAAUUCGUGAAGUGUUCCAUAUUAAA